This 2834-nucleotide long non-coding RNA is filed under the name Homo sapiens (human). RNAcentral's name for it is "HSALNT0368545". The record is from RNAcentral. Lineage: Eukaryota; Metazoa; Chordata; Mammalia; Primates; Hominidae.
CAUUGAAUUUAUUUUAUUUUAAAGUUAUCUAUGUACACCAAGUAAAUACACACAGGGGGUUGCGCAGUUUGGUUUGUCUUCCACGCUGGCAUGCAACAUUUUGGCAGAUGUGAGUGGGCAGGCCAGGUGCCCCUUGCAGUGACCCUGGCUCUGAAAGGGAUGCGGUGAAGGUGGGGAGCAGGAGGAGGAGGAGGAUGUAGUGUGAAGCUUCUGGUGAAGGGUUUGCGUGUGUGUUGUUUCUUUUUUAUGUAAGUGAAUUAUAUUUCCCUUACAUCUUGCUAAAGAGAAGGCUGCUCCCUCUGUGUCAUCUCUCUCCUCAUCUGCGCUACACCCUCACAUUUCCUUAUGUGUUUUUAAAAGAACCAUGUGGUGGCAACAUUACAUAAAACCCCCUGGAUUCUUAAGUGCCCUGCUGACAGCAAAUAUUAGCCUAAGUCCACAGGCCCACAGGAACCUUCCUUCCACCCUAGUGGGUCUGGAGACAGCAUGGCUUGUCUACCCCACCGUUGCCCUCUUUUCCAUGAGUUGCAGCUUUAGUGCAGAGGAGCCAGAUUGGACCCCCUUCCUCAGAACAAUGGUUUUCAAACUACUCCACAGAAUCCUCAGGGUCUCUUAGGACUGUUCAAGGGCUCAUUUGCUGAGGAGCCUUUGAACAGUCAGUCCUAAGAGACGCUGAGACUUCUUCCACCAAAAAAAAAAAAAAAAAAAAAUGCAAACUGCCCAGGUCUGCAUUACUUUAUUUUUUAUAUUGGGGUUCUAUGUAAGAUUUGUUUUUGAAAAACAUUUAAAAAUCACUGCUUUGGAUUUAUUCCACACUCCACUGGUAUUUUUCCCCCUGCAGUUCUCCCUAACUGCUAAAAGGAGCUCAGCAGGUAAAGGGAGCAGGGCCUCUUUUCCUUGAAGGAGUCAUGGGCCAGUGCAGCCUGCGCUUACCAGCUGGCAUUCCCACUCAGCUUCCUUUCCUGACUUAGAAGUUGGGUGAUAGGCUGCCCUGCCGCUGGAGAAUCUUGGUCUUCCUCCUAGAAAAGACUGGAUAUCAGGACACCAGACUUUCUCUCCUGGUUUGGAAUGGCUAGUGACCUCCAUCCCUGCAGUUACCUAGAAAACCACCUUAGCACCAUGUGGAAGGAAAGGACCGUCUGAAACUAAAACAACAGUCCUCUUCAGUAUGGAGGGUGCUGCAUAUGGGCUGAGAAUGGCUGGGAGAAGACCCCUCAGGGUCAAGCCUUAGAGCUUCCCACCUCUUGAAAAUCCACCCUGCCCCUUUCUUUAAAGUGCACUUAAUACCAGAUGGGGACAUUAGAGAAGGAACUCUUUGUGGAGAAAAAAAAAAUGUACAUUGGGGAAAAGUCAGGCUCCAGCUUGAAAGGAAGGCAACUAGAGAGAUUUUGCCAAUGAGCUGGAAGCCCCCAAACCAAGGGGUGGAGAUGGGAGGAGCAUGCCGCCCAGUAUGGAACAAGAAAGAAAUCCAGCUCAUCACUUCAACUUGAGGGCACUGUGACAAAAAAAAAAGGCUCAGAAAUUUCCCAGCCUAUUCACCCCCAAACCCAAGGAAUCAAUCAUUUUGACUACACCUGCCUGUAACCAUCUCCAUGGACAGAUGAGCAGCCAUUGACAGGCUGCUGGGAGCAGUCUGCCUCCUCCAUUUUUCAAAAUAUUUUAAAUCAGCUCUGGGUUCUGGUCAUGAGCUCUGGGGCAGGGAAUAUCAAAAGGAGCUUGAAGAAAAAGGGAAAUGGUCCCUUGAGCAACCCAUUUCUCAGUCCAGGGGAAAACAGGAAGAGGGAGGCAAAAGGCAGACUUUGUAGGGCAGAAGUAACACCUGAAUCCUUUGAUUAAGGUGAGGGGUGUAUGAAGAAAAUUAUAUGUCUCAAUUAGCAGCCCUUCCAUUUUACCUUCCCCUGUGCUAUAUGUGAAAGAGGAGGGAGGAAGAGUCUAUUUCUCUGUCUCAUGAUGCUAAGACAUUCUUCUGCUUAAGGCUUUGUGUGUGUGCAUGCGUGUGUGCAUGUUUGUGUGCGUGCGUGCGUGUGUGUAUGAAGGGUCACAACCCUCUAGCUCCCAUUUUUCCUUUUGUCAUCUCUGUGACCUCUACUCAGUGACUAACACCACUCAGUGUGAGACGAGUAGAUGAGAAAGAAGAAACAUUCACCCUCCUCCCUAUUGCCCCAAAUAAGGAAGGUAGACUAUGCUUUGAAAUUGCUAAAUACAUCAGUAGAUACUUGAGAAUAAGACAGAAGAGAGACAUAGCAGCAGCUUUUGAUAUAUAGAUACAGAGUACAAAGAGAUACAGAGUAAGUAAGAGAAGACAUCAAACAUAGUACAGUCCAACAACAGGGGUUGGGGAGGGAGUUAGUAUCAGAGACCACAGGUUUGCAGCAUGCUGAGAAGAGGCCUCAGUCCCUCUUAGAAACUGGGAAAGAAAGAGAAAGAGGGUGUGAGGGCCCAGCUUGUAGCUCAGUCACAGAACAGGAACAGGUGGCAUCUGCACACACUUUGGUUUACUGUCCUGUUCCUUUAAUACCAACAAGCAGACCCCCCUACCACCGCCCCCCGUGACCCAGGCUUGCACCUCCACCCCUAGGUCUCCCCAACUCCUCUUCUGCAUUCCUACUUCUCUGCUUCUCAGACUUUUCUGCCUGUGUGUGCCUGGUUUACUAUUCUGGGAAACCCCUGGAGAGGGCUCAGCUUAGAUGCAGCCCAGUAAGAGACUGGCCAUGUUCUCUGUGCCACUUCUGGGCCCUAAAGCAACCUUGGUGAGAAACCCAGUGACACACAAGAACAAAGAAGGUUCCUGUGCUGCUAGAGGAGAGCACCUGGGGACAGAGGAGGAAAAAGAG